This 301-nucleotide ribosomal RNA is filed under the name uncultured bacterium. RNAcentral's name for it is "partial 16S ribosomal RNA". It matches the Rfam family "Bacterial small subunit ribosomal RNA", at positions 509 to 807 of the family's 1533-position model. The record is from RNAcentral.
CAGCCGCCACGGUAAUACAGAGGAUGCAAGCGUUAUCCGGAAUGAUUGGGCGUAAAGCGUCUGUAGGUGGCUUUUCAAGUCCGCCGUCAAAUCCCCGGGCUCAACCCUGGACAGGCAGUGGAAACUACCAAGAUGGAGUACGGUAGGGGCAAAGGGAAUUUCCGGUGGAGCGGUGAAAUGCAUUGAGAUCGGAAAGAACACCAACGGCGAAGGCACUCUGCUGGGCCGACACUGACACUGAGAGACGAAAGCUAGGGGAGCAAAUGGGAUUAGAUACCCCCGUAGUCCCUGUCUCUUAUAC